CUACUUCUUACUAUUUAAUUGCUCUUCUAUUUAAACUGUUGAGCUUUAGUUUUAAGAGAUCUAUCAACCCUCUCUAUGAUCAUGCUUAAAGAGAGAAUAUCCCAAUCAUAUCUUAAGAUAGAAUUUUCAAUAAAUACCGAUAUGAGGAUCAAAAAUUUAUCUUAGAACAGUGAUCACAAACUUUCAAACUUCAUUUUUGUUUCUGCAUCAUAAAUUAACGAGCCAAUCCAAUCAAACUCUCGACAAGUUAAGGUUCUUACUCUGAUCCUGACCAUAUAGUUUAGAUAAGUUUAAAGUUUAUCAAAGUCAUUGCUUCGAUAGCAGACUCUCUACAGAAGGACUCUGAUACAACAUCCAAAGGAAAAAUUUAGCAAUCUCUACAUUCCAUUGUUUAUUUUCGUAAAUCAGAUACUAGAUUAAAAUAUUAUUCUAGAUUUUUUAUUUUUAUUUUGAAAAUAGAGAGUCCUAAUAGACUUUAACUUUUAUUUAUAGUUUUAUUUUUAAUAUUUUAAUUUAUCUGAAACAUUGAAUUACCAAAAUAGCAAUUGUUCUUUUAUUAUUCUAAAGACCGAUUUUAGUAUCUACUUACGGAUUUUCUAUGAAAUC
Molecule: long non-coding RNA, 606 nt
Filed under: Elaeis guineensis (African oil palm)
Lineage: Eukaryota; Viridiplantae; Streptophyta; Magnoliopsida; Arecales; Arecaceae
Description: long non-coding RNA (EGUI_LNC004870)
Source: RNAcentral